Molecule: long non-coding RNA, 2863 nt
Filed under: Xyrichtys novacula (pearly razorfish)
Lineage: Eukaryota; Metazoa; Chordata; Actinopteri; Labriformes; Labridae
Source: RNAcentral
ACACCCCAUGGCCAUUCAAAGUUGUACAAAUCAUGACGCUGCACCCCACAGUUUACGUUCUAGGGGGCGCCAAAGAGGACCCAAAUAUCCACAUAUUUAAAAGUCUUAUAACUUUUUAUUUUUGUCCUCACUGGCCUCCAAGUUUUCUAGGAUGAUGCAAUGUCCAGCCAUCAACACAUUUGUGAAGGAAUUUUUUCUCCCCAAAAGAGCGCCCCCCAUGGCAGGAGAAAAAGUCAAGUUUUUCCUGCCCAUCGCUCAAUGGCUCAAACGCAUCGCUCUCUCGGCAAAACCGAAAGGAGGAGCAACUUGCCAUUUGGAUAUAUACUAGUUGUGUUUAUGCCCUCACUCAUGGUCCAGACUUUUUUCAAAAAGGACAUGGAGUUUGUCUGCAGCGAGCAUUUUGGUAGAAACUGCGCCUCCCAUUCAUUAUAAUGGUAAAUGACCACAGACAAGUGCGCACACCAUCUUUGGACCUUGAGUGUGACGCGAUCGGGAGGGGUAGGCGGUCGCACUGGGGGCGGCGCAACACGGCUCGGGCCCGCCAGUGCCCCAACGGGGCCCUAGUUCUUUCUUUCUUUCUUUCUUUCUUCUUAUUUUUCCUCCCCUUUGAAGGGGAAAAUGGCCCACUUCCCACUGGCGAAAACUCAUGACAUUUGGCAGGAUGACCGGGCCUGGUGAAAAAUUCGAUAUUCUGAAGUCGCCCAAACAAUAAAAUGCAAAAUGGCUCCAUAGCGCCCCCUAAGGUGGAAAUUCACACUAUUGACUGCCACGCCUGUACGCUUUGUCAUAUUGACACAAAAAUUGACACACACAUGUAUCUCAAUACGAUCUACAAAAAAGUCAGUGUGGGCGUAUCUGUCAAAUGUACGGUUAAAGGGUUAUUUCGCAUUUUUUGCCGAUCCGCACACAUUGGAAUUUCGCUAACUCCUCCGAAGGCUUUCGUUCCACCGGCACCAAAUUUGCUCAGGCCAAUCUACACCCCAUGGCCAUUAAAAGUUGUACAAAUCAUGACGCUGCACCCCACGGUUUAGGUUCUAGGGGGCGCCAAAGAUAACCCAAAAAUCCACAUUCUUAAAAGUCUUAUAACUUUUUAUUUUUGUCCUCACUGGCCUCCAAGUUCUCUAGGAUGAUGCAAUGUCCAGCAAUUAACACAUUUGUGAAGGAAUUUUUACUCGCCAAAAGAGCGCCCCCCCAUGGCAGGAGAAAAAAGUCCAUUUAAUUCUUGUCCCCUAAGGCGAAAAUCCACAUUGUUGAGUGUCACGCCUGUACGCUUUGUCAUAUUGACACAAAAUUUGACAAUCACGUGUAUCUCAAUAAGAUCUACGAAAAAGUCAAUGUGCACGUAUCUGUAAAAUGUACGGUUAAAGGGCUAUUUCGCAUUUUUUGCCGAUUCGCACACAUUGGAAUGUGGCUAACUCCUCCUAAGGCUUUCGUUCCACUGACACCAAAUUUGCUCAGGCCAAUCUACACCCCAUGGCCAUUCAAAGUUGUAAAAAUCAUGACGCUGCACCCCACGGUUUACGUUCUAGGAGGCGCCAAAGAGGACCCAAAUAUCCACAUUUUUAAAAGUCUUAUAACUUUAUUUUUGUCCUCACUGGCCUCCAAGUUUUCUAGGAUGAUGCAAUGUUCAGUCAUCAACACAUUUGUGAAGGAAUUUUUUCUCCCCAAAAGAGCGCCCUGCCAUGGCAGGAGAAAAAGUCAAGUUUUUCCUGCCCAUCGCUCAAUGGCUCAAACACAUCGCUCUCUCGGCAAAACCGAAAGGAGGAGCACCUUGCCAUUUGGAUAUAUACUAGCUGUGUUUGUGCCCUCACUCAUGGUCCAGACUUUUUUCAAAAAGGACAUGGAGUUUGUCUGCAGCGAGCGUUUUGGUAGAAACUGCGCCUCCCAUUCAUUAUAAUGGUAAAUGACCACAGACAAGUGCGCACACCAUCUUUGGACCUUGAGUGUGAUGCGAUCGGGAGGGGUAGGCGGUCGCGCUGGGGGCGGCGCGACACGGCUCGGGCCCGCCAGUGCCCCAACGGGGCCCUAGUUAUUAUUAUUUUUCCUCCGCUUUAAACUGGAAAAUGGCCCACUUCCCACUGGCGAAAACUCAGGAAAUUUGGCAGGACGACCGGGCCUGGUGAAAAAUUCGAUAUUCUGAAGUCGCCCAAACAAUAAAAUGCAAAAUGGCUCCAUAGCGCCCCCUAAGGUGAAAAUUCACACUAUUGACUGUCACACCUUUACGCUUUGUCAUAUUGACACAAAAAUUGACACACACAUGUAUCUCAAUAAGAUCUACAAAAAAGUCAGUGCGGGCGUAUCUGUCAAAUGUACGGUUAAAGGGUUAUUUCGCAUUUUUUGCCAAUCCGCACACAUUGGAAUUUCGCUAACUCCUCCGAAGGCUUUCGUUCCACCGGCACCACAUUUGCUCAGGCCAAUCUACACCCCAUGGCCAUUCAAAGUUGUACAAAUCAUGACGCUGCACCCCACGGUUUACGUUCUAGGGGGCGCCAAAUAUAACCCAAAAAUCCACAGUCUUAAAAGUCUUAUAACUUUUUAGUUUUGUCCUCACUGGCCUCCAAGUUUUCUAGGAUGAUGCAAUGUCCAGCCAUCAACACAUUUGUGAAGGAAUUUUUACUCGCCAAAAGAGCGCCCCCCCCAUGGCAGGAGAAAAAAGUCCAUUUUUUCUUGUCUCCUAAGGCGAAAAUACACAUUGUUGACUGUCACGCCUUUACGCUUUGUCAAAAUGACACAAAAUUUGACACACACAUGUAUCUCAAUAAGAUCUACGAAAAAGUCAAUGCGAGUGUAUCUGUUCAAUGUACAGUUAAAGGGCUAUUUCGCAUUUUUUGCCGAUUCGCACACAUUGGAAUGUGGCUAACUC